This 460-nucleotide ribosomal RNA is filed under the name uncultured bacterium. RNAcentral's name for it is "partial 16S ribosomal RNA". It matches the Rfam family "Bacterial small subunit ribosomal RNA", at positions 338 to 795 of the family's 1533-position model. The record is from RNAcentral.
CCUACGGGAGGCAGCAGUGAGGAAUAUUGGUCAAUGGACGAGAGUCUGAACCAGCCAAGUAGCGUGAAGGAUGACUGCCCUAUGGGUUGUAAACUUCUUUUAUAUGGGAAUAAAAUGUUCCACGUGUGGGCUUUUGUAUGUACCAUAUGAAUAAGGAUCGGCUAACUCCGUGCCAGCAGCCGCGGUAAUACGGAGGAUCCGAGCGUUAUCCGGAUUUAUUGGGUUUAAAGGGGGCGUAGGUGGAUUGUUAAGUCAGUUGUGAAAGUUUGCGGCUCAACCGUAAAAUUGCAGUUGAAACUGGCAGUCUUGAGUAGGGUAGAGGUAGGCGGAAUUCGUGGUGUAGCGGUGAAAUGCUUAGAUAUCACGAAGAACUCCGAUUGCGAAGGCAGCUCACUGGACUGCAACUGACACUGAGGCUCGAAAGUGUGGGUAUCAAACAGGAUUAGAUACCCGGGUAGUC